GGUCCCACACCAACGUCCCAGGGGAUGGACACUAGUGUGGCCUUUCUGCUCCAGGGAGGUGAGAAGAGCAGGGAGACCCGGGAUGAGUGGCUGCAAGGGGUCAGAUGGCCUGGGUGUGGGUGAGGGUCUGCCUGCCUGCUUGUCUCUGUCUCUGGGUGUCUGAGUUCCAAAAAUUGUGUGGUGUUUGUUGCUCCUCCUCCUCUUCUAAGACUGUUUUUAAAUGCUUGAUUGUGGGAGAAAAGCUUGUAUGACAUUUUCCCUUUCAUCUCUCCACCUCCCAAAAAAACUAACCGGGGAAUAAACUGGCUCACUGUGGAGCCCGUAGAGGGCUGGGCUGGGCUGGGCUGGGCUGGACCAGGGCUUCUCUGCAGCACCUACUUUCUAUGCACAUGAGUGCCCCACUCCCCAGCAGAGCCCAGGGGAGACCCUGCCGGGGGCCCACAUCACACGGCUCAAGAUAGUCUUUUGUUGGUGCCAAUCUCCUAGGACACUGCCACCCUGGAAUGCGCACCUGCUUGCUAGCCUUGAAGCAGGGGCUCUCCAGUGGCCUUUGGCAGGAUCGUGGGAGGCUUCAUGACCCCUCCUUUCCUGGCUUCCCCACCUGCCCCACAGUAGGUGCCCAUCCCACUUUCCCCACAGGGCUACCUGCUCUGACUCAGCAGGGGCGCCAACCAGCCAGGCAGCCACCCUCUUGAAGUCCAGCCCUGCCAGAGCCAUCCGCUCCUCUUUCUUGUAGGCAUCUUCCCCUGGCAAAUUAGAUGUCCCAUGCACCUUGACUUCCUUCCUAAGAACAGUUUCUGAACCUGGCCUUGGAAAGAUGAGCCUCAGGCAAGUUCAAGCCCUGCUCUGUGGCUUCCCAGGGUCAGAAGAGGGUCCUGGCCAUUUGCUCUCCCUCCCCUCAGUGGCAUGGCUUCUGAGCAGUGCUUGAUGCCCCUUUCUCCUCCCCUGCUGCUUGGCUAGUAGAGGCUGCCUCUCAUCUCCAGCAGCCCUUGCUCCUCUUAAAAUCUUCCGGACAGGACCACCAGCGUCAGGCACCCAAGAAGCAAGGGCAGGUGCCAUCUUUGGGUGAUAGGGCCAGGGGGAUGCGGUCUUGGGAAGAACCUGUCCGUGUGCAUGGAGUGAAAGGUGUGGGUGUGCCCGCGCGUGCGUGCGUGCGUGCGUGCGUGUGUGUGUGUGUGUGCAUGCUUUUUCUUUUUGCCACGGUGACAUUGAAUUUGGGGCAUUUUUUUCUACAAGAAGCAGCCUUCUCUGCCCCAGUAAGGACUGGCUGUGACUUCAAGGCACUUUGAGCCUAGGAAAACCUCACCAAGACAGCCAGUGGCCUGGGGGCGCCAAGGUGGGAAGUGGGCAUGAGAGUAGACACCUCCCCAAAUUCAGUCCGGCCCCCAGCAGGAGAGCGCGGCGGGGUUGCCAGGGCUCAGAAAUGUAAACUGAUCCUCUCCCCUCCCCCACCUGCCUUGUGCCUCGGUUUCCCUUUGUACCCUUGGGUGAAUGCAGGGGCAGUGAUGGCUGCCCCUUCCACCUGGAUGGUGGUGUGUGUGGCGAGCAAGCUGGUCGGUGUGUGUGGUGGGGCCGAUGGGGCCUAGGAGGAGGUGAAGACGAGGAGGUCUUUCCUGACUGUAAAGAUGAAUAUUUGUAUGAUUAAAUUAACACACAAAAAAAGCUCUGCAUGUGUCUCUGAGUCUC
Molecule: long non-coding RNA, 1686 nt
Filed under: Marmota monax (woodchuck)
Lineage: Eukaryota; Metazoa; Chordata; Mammalia; Rodentia; Sciuridae
Source: RNAcentral